CGUUGAAUACGUUCCCGGGUCUUGUACACACCGCCCGUCAAGUCACCUGAAUUGUCUUCACCCGAAGCCCGUGGCCUAACCCGUAAGGGGAGGAGCGGUCGAAGGUGAGGGGGGUAAGGGGGACU
Molecule: ribosomal RNA, 125 nt
Filed under: uncultured bacterium
Lineage: Bacteria
Description: partial 16S ribosomal RNA
Rfam family: Bacterial small subunit ribosomal RNA
Source: RNAcentral